RNAcentral lists this unclassified non-coding RNA (465 nucleotides) under Hevea brasiliensis (rubber tree). Lineage: Eukaryota; Viridiplantae; Streptophyta; Magnoliopsida; Malpighiales; Euphorbiaceae. The record is from RNAcentral.
AGAGAGAGAGAGGGAGAGAGAGAUAGAGAGGGGAAAAAAUGGUAGUUGUAAAGUAUUUAAAAAGAAAUUAGAAGAGAGAAUAAUUUAAGAAAACUUCAAAAGUGAAAAAUAGAAUAUGAGCCGUCACGUUUAGAUGUAUUGUGAAGGGCUUGUGUUCAUUUAUUAUAUCCUAUUUGGGUAUCGUGCACAUUGACAAUGUAGAGGAAAUAUGUGUGAAAGCCAACAUUUUGGUUGCUAUGUGUGAAAGUCAACAUUUUGGUUGCUAACUGCGUGAAAAUUAAAUGCAUUGAUUGAAAUUGUGAGAAAUGGGAUUGAUAAGUCCAGCAGCUAGAUCAUUUUCCUGCUAUAAUUUUGAGCAUUCUUUCCUAAAAAUGAAUAUUUCCAUAUAUCCCUUGGGUAUUCUCCCCUAGCUACAACUGUUGGUAGUAGUUGUUUCCCACCCGAAAAUUUGUGUUUAAAUUGUCG